AUUGAACGCUGGCGGCAGGCCUAACACAUGCAAGUCGGACGGUAGCACAGAGAGCUUGCUCUCGGGUGACGAGUGGCGGACGGGUGAGUAAUGUCUGGGGAUCUGCCCGAUAGAGGGGGAUAACCACUGGAAACGGUGGCUAAUACCGCAUAACGUUGCAAGACCAAAGAGGGGGACCUUCGGGCCUCUCACUAUCGGAUGAACCCAGAUGGGAUUAGCUAGUAGGCGGGGUAACGGCCCACCUAGGCGACGAUCCCUAGCUGGUCUGAGAGGAUGACCAGACACACUGGAACUGAGACACGGUCCAGACUCCUACGGGAGGCAGCAGUGGGGAAUAUUGCACAAUGGGCGCAAGCCUGAUGCAGCCAUGCCGCGUGUAUGAAGAAGGCCUUCGGGUUGUAAAGUACUUUCAGCGGGGAGGAAGGCGAUGUGGUUAAUAACCGCGUCGAUUGACGUUACCCGCAGAAGAAGCACCGGCUAACUCCGUGCCAGCAGCCGCCGUAA
This 504-nucleotide ribosomal RNA is filed under the name uncultured bacterium. RNAcentral's name for it is "partial 16S ribosomal RNA". It matches the Rfam family "Bacterial small subunit ribosomal RNA", at positions 29 to 523 of the family's 1533-position model. The record is from RNAcentral.